GGGGAUAACACUUGGAAACAGGUGCUAAUACCGCAUAACCAUAGUUACCGCAUGGUAACUAUGUAAAAGGUGGCUAUGCUACCGCUUUUGGAUGGGCCCGCGGCGCAUUAGCUAGUUGGUGGGGUAAAGGCUUACCAAGGCAAUGAUGCGUAGCCGAACUGAGAGGUUGAUCGGCCACAUUGGGACUGAGACACGGCCCAAACUCCUACGGGAGGCAGCAGUAGGGAAUCUUCCACAAUGGGCGAAAGCCUGAUGGAGCAACGCCGCGUGGGUGAAGAAGGUCUUCGGAUCGUAAAACCCUGUUGUUAGAGAAGAAAGUGCGUGAGAGUAACUGUUCACGUUUCGACGGUAUCUAACCAGAAAGCCACGGCUAACUACGUGCCAGCAGCCGCGGUAAUACGUAGGUGGCAAGCGUUAUCCGGAUUUAUUGGGCGUAAAGGGAACGCAGGCGGUCUUUUAAGUCUGAUGUGAAAGCCUUCGGCUUAACCGGAGUAGUGCAUUGGAAACUGGGAGACUUGAGUGCAGAAGAGGAGAGUGGAACUCCAUGUGUAGCGGUGAAAUGCGUAGAUAUAUGGAAGAACACCAGUGGCGAAAGCGGCUCUCUGGUCUGUAACUGACGCUGAGGUUCGAAAGCGUGGGUAGCAAACAGGAUUAGAUACCCUGGUAGUCCACGCCGUAAACGACGAA
RNAcentral lists this ribosomal RNA (687 nucleotides) under uncultured bacterium. Its description in RNAcentral is "bacterial SSU rRNA". It matches the Rfam family "Bacterial small subunit ribosomal RNA", at positions 139 to 813 of the family's 1533-position model. The record is from RNAcentral.